Molecule: small nuclear RNA, 108 nt
Filed under: Rhodnius prolixus
Lineage: Eukaryota; Metazoa; Arthropoda; Insecta; Hemiptera; Reduviidae
Source: RNAcentral
GUACUCGCUUCGGCGGUACAUAUACUAAAAUUGGAACGAUAGAGAGAAGAUUAGCAUGGCCCCUGCGCAAGGAUGACACCAAAAUCGUGAAAACUGAAAAAGCUUCCU